This 627-nucleotide small RNA is filed under the name uncultured Galactomyces. Its description in RNAcentral is "eukaryotic LSU rRNA". The stretch from base 353 to 627 matches the Rfam family "Eukaryotic large subunit ribosomal RNA", at positions 1 to 281 of the family's 3401-position model. Lineage: Eukaryota; Fungi; Ascomycota; Dipodascomycetes; Dipodascales; Dipodascaceae. The record is from RNAcentral.
CUUGGUCAUUUAGAGGAAGUAAAAGUCGUAACAAGGUUUCCGUAGGUGAACCUGCGGAAGGAUCAUUAUGAAUUAAUAAUAUUUGUGAAAUUUCAACAAACAACAAUAAUUUUAUAGUCUAUUAUUUUUAGUUAAAACUUUUAACAAUGGAUCUCUUGGUUCUCGUAUCGAUGAAGAACGCAGCGAAACGCGAUAUUUCUUGUGAAUUGCAGAAGUGAAUCAUCAGUUUUUGAACGCACAUUGCACUUUGGGGUAUCCCCCAAAGUAUACUUGUUUGAGCGUUGUUUCUCUCUUGGAAUUGCUUUGCUCUUCUAAAAUUUCGAAUCAAAUUCGUUUGAAAAACAACACUAUUCAACCUCAGAUCAAGUAGGAUUACCCGCUGAACUUAAGCAUAUCAAUAAGCGGAGGAAAAGAAACCAACAGGGAUUGCCUUAGUAACGGCGAGUGAAGCGGCAAAAGCUCAAAUUUGAAAUCGGCCACCAGGUCGAGUUGUAAUUUGUAGAGGAAGCUUUUGGCACGGCACCUGCUGAGUCCCCUGGAACGGGGCGCCAUAGAGGGUGAGAGCCCCGUAUAGCAGGACGCCUAGCCUCUGUAAAGCUCCUUCGACGAGUCGAGUUGUUUGGGAAU